UAACUUUCAGCAACGGAUCUCUUGGCUCUCGCAUCGAUGAAGAACGCAGCGAAAUGCGAUAAGUAAUGUGAAUUGCAGAAUUCAGUGAAUCAUCGAAUCUUUGAACGCACCUUGCGCUCCUUGGUAUUCCGAGGAGCAUGCCUGUUUGAGUGUCAUGG
This 158-nucleotide ribosomal RNA is filed under the name Fomitopsis quercina. RNAcentral's name for it is "Daedalea quercina 5.8S ribosomal RNA". It matches the Rfam family "5.8S ribosomal RNA". Rfam says of the family: 5.8S ribosomal RNA (5.8S rRNA) is a component of the large subunit of the eukaryotic ribosome. It is transcribed by RNA polymerase I as part of the 45S precursor that also contains 18S and 28S rRNA. Lineage: Eukaryota; Fungi; Basidiomycota; Agaricomycetes; Polyporales; Fomitopsidaceae. RNAcentral also lists the same sequence under 5 other names. The record is from RNAcentral.